Seriola aureovittata is the source of this 576-nucleotide long non-coding RNA. RefSeq lists it as uncharacterized. The transcript is spliced from 3 exons. The record is from RefSeq and is a predicted model, not a curated record. NCBI's taxonomy places the organism in Eukaryota, Metazoa, Chordata, Actinopteri, Carangiformes, Carangidae.
AAGGGGGGAUAGGAUGUAGCAGCAUAGAGGGCGCUGCUCUUGAUUGAUGCCAGUUGGUAGCCGAUAAUUGGUCCAGCAUCAUAUAAAAGCGGCAGCCUGUCACCUGCUCUGUCUUGCGCUCCCUCAUUGCGUCAUUUCCGGACCGGAUAAUUGUUUGGCCCUUCAGAGCGGCAACGGUGGGCUGUGUUUGCGGUUGCAUUUAGCGUCUUCUGUAUUGGUGAAUGCCGGUAGCCGUGCGGGUCUCGUCUCUCCCUCACUCUCCUUAAGCCUGUGUGAACUCUAUAAAGUUGCUGCAGGCCGGUGGUGGUGCUGGUGACUCGGGUGGUGGUGUCCCUUCCUUCUGUGUGCCGUGUCCUGGGAUUUUUGGGUGAUUUCACAUUGUGUGUGUGCUUGCCACGUGUGUUGAGUGUCUGAUUAUUUUCACCUCAAUAUUAUUUUGUAUUUGGUAGACUCCCCACUCCUCUCACUAGCUCCUGCCCACACCCAUAGGCCUCAGCUCCUGUCUCAUAUUACUUUCUUUUCGUAUGGUUGGAUUUUAUAGUCUUUUAGAGUAUUUUUGAAAUAAAGUGUAUUUCU